Lolium perenne is the source of this 103-nucleotide small nucleolar RNA. The record is from RefSeq and is a predicted model, not a curated record. Lineage: Eukaryota; Viridiplantae; Streptophyta; Magnoliopsida; Poales; Poaceae.
ACUCGAGUUGUGUUUUCCUGUAAAUAUGGACAAAGAGUAAUGUUGAUGGAAUUUAGGUGAGUUAUGUGAGUCAUACAUGUUCAGAAAUUACUAUUACACAUGC